GCUCUGCUUUUCUUUUGUUCCAUGUUAUUUGACAGCUCAAUACUCAGCCCGAUUAGUGAAAGUCUUUCACUAUUGUCAGUGCAGACAUAAGCAAGAACGAACACUAACUUCGCUCAACUAUUUCGCGCGACCAAAACGUCGCUGGUCGCUGGCGACCUUUUCAUGUUAGUGCUUGAGCGAAACAGGCUAUUUCAAUGCGUCGCUGGAGCACUAAACUGCAGAGCACUCAACACGGUUGUUUGUGAAUACCCUUUAAUGGGUGAAAAAAUACCCAUUGUCGAAUAGCGAUCAGAUCUGUCAGAAAAUGGGGGAAUCCUGCUUUUUACGAGCGCUAAUGGCCGCCACAAUCAGGCUCGCUUUCUGGUAGGGAUCAAACGAUCUGACAUUUGGGUAGGGUCGUUUGACAGCUAUCGAUAAGUUUUUGAUCGAUCUUAUCGAUUUGCUAUCAAACGACCCAAGCCAAAUGUCAGAUCGCCUAGUCCCUACUAGAAAGUAAGCUUCUUUGUGGCGGCCAUUAGCGCUCGUAAAAAGCUGGAUUUAAAAUCUCGAGAGGGGUAAAAAUUUACCCAUUUUAAAAAUACAAUAGCGUUCCCAUUAAUGGGUGAAAAAUAGUUAUGAUUAAUCAACUCGUCAAUCCGCAUGUGUGUAUUUAUAAUUGAAAAGAUUUAAACUAUUCUGUUUUUCCCACAGGAGACUUAAUUUGAAAGGCUGCACCAAGAUUUGUUCCGAGAGUUGCCCAGCGGAUAUGAAUGUAUUUCAAAAAAUUGCUGAAUUAGACUUAUAUUUUAGAAUAAAUUGCAUAGAAACAUUGUU
Long non-coding RNA from Aedes aegypti (yellow fever mosquito), 813 nucleotides. RefSeq lists it as uncharacterized. The transcript has 2 exons. The record is from RefSeq and is a predicted model, not a curated record. Lineage: Eukaryota; Metazoa; Arthropoda; Insecta; Diptera; Culicidae.